UGGAGGCAAAUCCGAGUCUCGC
This 22-nucleotide non-coding RNA is filed under the name Mus musculus (house mouse). The record is from RNAcentral. Lineage: Eukaryota; Metazoa; Chordata; Mammalia; Rodentia; Muridae.